This is a non-coding RNA of Podarcis lilfordi (Lilford's wall lizard), 2428 nucleotides long. NCBI's taxonomy places the organism in Eukaryota, Metazoa, Chordata, Lepidosauria, Squamata, Lacertidae. The record is from the annotation of a GenBank genome assembly.
UGGAGUUUACUCAAUGAGGCUGUUUGUGUCCCCAGCGAUCUGUUGGUGAGUGGCUGUUCCUCUUUCUCUCCCAAAACCCAUUAAAACAGAGCUUUCCUCCUCCCUAAGAAAAGGUCAAUAACUUUGACCUGAACCCCCAAAAAGGGAAGUAGAUCACUGCCAGUUUUUAAUUCUGUAAGUAGAUCCCAGUCUCUUGAGAGCUGGCCACCCCUGGAGUAGAGCAAGUAGAGGAAAGCAGUGAGAGAGGGAAAUGGUAGUUUUAAACUUUGACAGAGCUUUGAGAAGAGCAAGCAGGGAUAGAGAAUCACUGGUGGUUUAAACUGGUGGUUUAAAACAAUAGUGAAAAUUUCAGUAGAGCAAGUGGAGGUAGGAGACAUUGAGGAAAAAGUGGCAGCUUAAAAUAAGGUUUCAGUAUAGCAAGAAAGGGGCUCAGAAAGGUUAUGUUGUGUUGGCUUUUGGGUGUUAACUUAUGUGUUGUACCCAUCUUUGCUAUUUUCCCUUGUUGAAACUUAAAAGAAAAAAACCACCUUCCCUUCCCAGUCUAUUAAGACCUCUCCCACCACUUUCUGCUCUCAGUGUCCUUCCCUUCUAGCUCUCGUGCUACAAACCCUGCUGUGGUGCAGCCUGCCUUCUCUUAUGCUUCCCUACCCUGCCGUAACUUCACGCAAAUCCAGGCUUCAUAUGAGGAUUACAAAUCAUCUAAUGGAGGCUGCGUGACGACAGCCUUACAUUUUUCUGUAUAUAGGAAGACAGGCAAGAACCAAAAAUAGCUCCAUAAGUCAAAUCAGUUUGAUGAUUAAUUACAAUUGCCACAAACCAGCUAAAGGUUUCAUUGAUUAAUCUAUCAAUAAAAACCAAUGACAUGUCGGUUUCAUUUGGAGCAAAAAUAUUGGAGCUAAUAAAACUUAGCUCAGGUUCGCACUGUUGCAUGGUCCCCAGUUCUCAGCAUGGUGACAAGCUACAAGGGCAGCAGUGGUUUUGUUUUCUUUGGGGACUGAAAUCAUAACGGCAUCCUUGUAAUCUGGACUGCUUAGGCAUAUGCUUGCAGGGCACAAGCACCCCAUCAAAAUAAAGAUCACCCCGAGACCACAAAUUGAGGAGUCCCCAGACUGCACUCCCCCCUCCAUUUUAACCUCAGACUUCACCCCUGCAAGAAAUUUGCCCAGUGACAGUCAUAGCCACAGUAUAUAAGGUAGUAAAGAGCAAAGGGGAAUCUCAUAUAUGACCAUGAAAAUGAGUGCUCUCCCAGUAAAGGUACUAUUCUAAUAUCUCACUCUACAGGAGCUGUGCAGUUCUUUCUUCCCCUACCAUGAACAUGAAAGGAUGUGCAGCUCUCAUUUGCUCAUCACCUGACAACUUUCCUAUCAUAGCAUGCAAAGCAUCCCUCAAGGGAGGAGUUCUUCAGCACUGAAACCCCAACACUUGCAGUAGGUCUACUAUACUGUGGUACCUCGGGUUACAUACACUUCAGGUUACAUACGCUUCAGGUUACAGACUCCGCUAACCCAGAAAUAGUACCUCGGGUUAAGAACUUUGCUUCAGGAUGAGAACAAAAAUCGUGCUCCAGCGGCGCGGCAGCAGCAGGAGGACCCAUUAGGUAAAGUGUUGCUUCAGGUUAAGAACAGUUUCAGGUUAAGAAUGGACCUCCGGAACGAAUUAAGUACUUAACCUGAGGUACCACUGUACUGAAGAAGAGAAUAUUGGUUUGUUAUUUUCAGUUCCAUGUUGCGGAGAACACAAAUGCAUCCAACCUAUACUUUGAUUUUGUAAUCAGGUGCUCAUAAAGAUUUUAGUUUUGAGUGAUGCCAGUUCAGACUUCAGGGGUUACCGAUCCAUAUUUAGCCACUAAGUUACAGUGGGAUGGGGGCACGGAACACAUUUUAAUUAGCAGGUGUUUUUAAAGGUUUUUUUUUAAUUUUAAAAAAUCCUCCUAUAUAUUGGGGGUCUACUUUGCAGGCAAGCAUGCAAGCCCUCUAAGAAUCUCUUCAACCAAGAGUGAUUCUGGCUGAAUCUAUACUAAAGAAUUCUCCCUUCACCCCUGUAUUUCACAACUCCAACCAAAAUCUCCUUACUAGCUCCUUUUUAGGUACAUUAACAAUCAUAAUAUCGUCUGUCACCUCAUUUCUCUGUAUGCUGAAAAUUGCCUUGCUAACAUUUCUCCACACUGCACUUGUUUAUGCCUCCUGUUCAAUUUCUACUUGAUGCUAGCUCUUUUAUUAACAUAGCAUUUUCUAUAUUUUCCAAUAGGUGAAAUAUACUACACGCACUACAUAGAGAUAAUCAUCUCUCUAACUGUGAACUCAAAUGGUGAGUCCCGACAGAAUUGGAUCAAAAAUGAGGCAACCAACAUUUGGUUGAUUCUGUCAAUUCCUGUUCUCUCAGUUCCUUAUUUUUCCACUCUUAAAUUGUUCUCCACAUUUCUACAGCA